AUUGAACGCUGGCGGCAUGCCUUACACAUGCAAGUCGAACGGCAGCACGGGUGCUUGCACCUGGUGGCGAGUGGCAAACGGGUGAGUAAUACAUCGGAACGUACCUUAUCGUGGGGGAUAACGCAGCGAAAGCUGUGCUAAUACCGCAUACGCCCUGAGGGGGAAAGCGGGGGAUCGCAAGACCUCGCGCGAUUAGAGCGGCCGAUGCCUGAUUAGCUUGUUGGUGGGGUAAAAGCCCACCAAGGCGACGAUCAGUAGCUGGUCUGAGAGGACGAUCAGCCACACUGGGACUGAGACACGGCCCAGACUCCUACGGGAGGCAGCAGUGGGGAAUUUUGGACAAUGGGGGCAACCCUGAUCCAGCAAUGCCGCGUGAGUGAAGAAGGCCUUCGGGUUGUAAAGCUCUUUUGUCAGGGAAGAAACACCGGCUCUAACACAGUCCGGGAAUGACGGUACCUGAAGAAUAAGCACCGGCUAACUACAUGCCAGCCGCCGCCGUAA
Molecule: ribosomal RNA, 501 nt
Filed under: uncultured bacterium
Lineage: Bacteria
Description: partial 16S ribosomal RNA
Rfam family: Bacterial small subunit ribosomal RNA
Source: RNAcentral